AACGAACGCUGGCGGCAGGCCUAACACAUGCAAGUCGAGCGCGCCCUUCGGGGUGAGCGGCGGACGGGUGAGUAACGCGUGGGAACGUGCCCUUUUCUACGGAAUAGCCUCGGGAAACUGAGAGUAAUACCGUAUACGCCCUUUGGGGGAAAGAUUUAUCGGAAAAGGAUCGGCCCGCGUUGGAUUAGGUAGCUGGUGGGGUAAUGGCCUACCAAGCCGACGAUCCAUAGCUGGUUUGAGAGGAUGAUCAGCCACACUGGGACUGAGACACGGCCCAGACUCCUACGGGAGGCAGCAGUGGGGAAUCUUAGACAAUGGGGGCAACCCUGAUCUAGCCAUGCCGCGUGAGUGAUGAAGGCCUUAGGGUUGUAAAGCUCUUUCAGCUGGGAAGAUAAUGACGGUACCAGCAGAAGAAGCCCCGGCUAACUCCGUG
Molecule: ribosomal RNA, 433 nt
Filed under: uncultured bacterium
Lineage: Bacteria
Description: partial 16S ribosomal RNA
Rfam family: Bacterial small subunit ribosomal RNA
Source: RNAcentral